GGAGUUGUAGCUCAGUGGUAGAGCACUUGCCUAGCACAUGUGAGGUACUAAGUUUGAUCCUUAGCACCACCA
Non-coding RNA from Ictidomys tridecemlineatus (thirteen-lined ground squirrel), 72 nucleotides. NCBI's taxonomy places the organism in Eukaryota, Metazoa, Chordata, Mammalia, Rodentia, Sciuridae. The record is from Rfam.